GGUCCAGACACAGUGAGGAUUGACAGAUUGAGAGCUCUUUCUUGAUUCUGUGGGUGGUGGUGCAUGGCCGUUCUUAGUUGGUGGAGUGAUUUGUCUGCUUAAUUGCGAUAACGAACGAGACCUUAACCUGCUAAAUAGCCCGUACUGCUUUGGCAGUUCGCCGGCUUCUUAGAGGGACUAUCGGCUCAAGCCGAUGGAAGUUUGAGGCAAUAACAGGUCUGUGAUGCCCUUAGAUGUCCUGGGCCGCACGCGCGUUACACUGACAGAGCCAGCGAGUAUUUCCUUGACCGGAAGGUCCGGGUAAUCUUGUUAAACUCUGUCGUGCUGGGGAUAGAGCAUUGCAAUUAUUGCUCUUCAACGAGGAAUCCCUAGUAAGCGCAAGUCAUCAGCUUGCGUUGAUUACGUCCCUGCCCUUUGUACACACCGCCCGUCGCUACUACCGAUUGAAUGGCUCAGUGAGACCUUCGGACUGGCCCAGAGAGGUGGGCAACUACCACUCAGGGCCGGAAAGUUGUUCAAACUCGGUCAUUUAGAGGAAGUAAAAGUCGUAACAAGG
RNAcentral lists this ribosomal RNA (556 nucleotides) under Kernia hippocrepida. RNAcentral's name for it is "SSU rRNA". It matches the Rfam family "Eukaryotic small subunit ribosomal RNA", at positions 1221 to 1799 of the family's 1831-position model. The record is from RNAcentral. Lineage: Eukaryota; Fungi; Ascomycota; Sordariomycetes; Microascales; Microascaceae.